Girardinichthys multiradiatus is the source of this 1574-nucleotide long non-coding RNA. RefSeq lists it as uncharacterized. The transcript has 2 exons. The record is from RefSeq and is a predicted model, not a curated record. NCBI's taxonomy places the organism in Eukaryota, Metazoa, Chordata, Actinopteri, Cyprinodontiformes, Goodeidae.
UUUAUCACAAUAUGCUAAUAUUUUGGGAAGGACCUGUAGAUGCUCAUUUGACUUGGUGAUGGACAUCCGACAAACUCAUGUAUGCUGCACUGCUCCAGCUCAACAUGCCGUAAAGGAAGUUGAACCUGAUAUGAAACGAUUAAUGUGUGCCUGUCCUCAAGGACCCGGAUGUGUGACACAAAAGCUGAAUUUUGGAACUGAAAUUGAAUUUCAGCCUUGAAAUUGAAAGUAGUCAAAAUUAAUUUUUAAUACAACAAAAUACAUUUUAAAAGCAAAUGAAUUCAGUUUCAAACCAUAAAAUACAGUUUAGUGAAAUUUAUUUUCAAACCAGUGCAUUUUUCAAAAUACACAAAUACAAAUUCAGUCAGAAGAAUUCAGAUUCAGUUUCUGAUGGCACAAGUUUCUUCCCAUUCCAUGGUCCGUCUCCAUCCACUGUCAAGGUAGCUACACUGUCAUCUCUUGUUGGCAAUAGCUGAAAAUAGAUGGUGACACAGAUAGUGACACUGCAGGCCAGGUCAAGGAUGUUUCAUUGUUUUUAAGAGGCACCCGUCAUUUGCAUCCACCCCAAUGUCCUGUAGUGCCUAUGUGGAAUAUUUCAUUGGUCCUCACUGCCCUGUAUUUUCCUCUGUUUGAGCCCUUAGCAGAAGUGGACCUGAAGUGCUUGUCUAAAACUACUGCAUUUCUUCUGACCAUGGCUUUGGAGAAAUGCGUGGGUGAACUUCUGGCCUUGUCAGUCUACUCGAUUUGGCCAGCCCGGAACAGCUCCGCACAGCUCUGCACGUUGUGUGUUGCAUUUCCAUAGACCUGCUUUUGCUCCGCUGAAGGGAACACCUCCUAAUGGCGCGGCUUUAAAGCAUCAUGUGUCGAGCUGCAUAACCGCGAAUGAAACACCCAACCACCAAUGUAAAGAAGACCGAAAAGCGUUACAAAAACAAGAGGUAACACGUCUAUUGCCUGGGGAUUAAAUCUGCUGUCUGCAUUGGCAAUCAGAUUUGAUGAUUGUUACCUAUAGGCCUAUAUUUAUUCAGCUGCCGCUGAAUAUUGUAGUCUCCUAUGAUCGCCAGAAAGAGUUGCACCUCGUCGUUGCUCCAAGGGGUGACUUUUCCGGAUAACUGUGCGGACUCCAUCAUGUUUCUCUCACUCGCUUGAAUGCACGUUUAAAAAUGCCGGUUGUUUUUUUUACGCUGGUCGACUCUAGCGGCCAAUCAGUGAACAGCCGUUUGUUCACGUCACGUACAGUACUGACUUGGCCUCGCUUAGCCUUGCAAAGAAGGAAGUACCAAAAAAGUAGGCACCGGUAACUGAAAUAACAGUAAUGGCAAUGCUCGGGAAGCGAGCCGAGUGGAGCCAAGUCGGGCCAAAUCAAGCCAGUGGAAAAGGGGCAAUUGUCUCAGUAAGGUCAGGCAAGACCUUUUUUUGCGAUUCCCAAGGUCUCUGUUGGUAAUCGUCAUCCAGUGCUUCAAGCACUCCCCCAGCUGUUAGUAGGCACGAAAUAGAAUGAGAGUUAUGACAAACUACUCAUACUCGUCGUCUUCCGCUUCAUCCGGGACUGGGGCCAGCAGACUCAGUAAAGA